Molecule: long non-coding RNA, 1661 nt
Filed under: Sander lucioperca (pikeperch)
Lineage: Eukaryota; Metazoa; Chordata; Actinopteri; Perciformes; Percidae
Description: lncRNA (ENSSLUG00000016705.1)
Source: RNAcentral
UGUGUGUAUUAAUGUAAAUGGUGUUUUAACAGAACCUUUUAAUGUAGAGAGAGGAGUGAAGCAGGGCUGUCCUCUGAGCGCUGCUCUGUACGUCCUGGCCAUCAGCCCCCUUAUUAAAACUAUUAAUUCAGAUAGUCUUAUAACUGGCACAAGCGUUUGUCUUGCUCCCAAAAUCACUGCCAUGGCAUAUGCAGAUGAUGUCACAGUCGUUAUUAAAAACCAGAUGGAGAUGGAUGUUUUAACCAAUCACCUGAACCUAUAUGAACUGGCUUCAGGAGCUAAAUUAAAUCAUGAUAAGACAGAGGGAGUUUGGAUCGGAGUUGAAAGUAAGAAACGUGAUAUCAACAUUAAAGUAAAGGAUGAAAUUAAAAUCUUAGGUUUGACCAUUUGUAAUCAAGACUGUAGUGAAAAAAACUGGGAAAAUAAACUAUGUGAAGUUAAAGAAGAAGUUAAAAAAUGGGAAAAUAAAAACACCAAUUAUAAGUCAAGAGUGAAUAUUGUUAAAACUUUCAUCUUAUCCAAACUCCUGUUUUUAGCAAACAUCUUUCCUCCAUCUCACAAAAUGAUAAUGAAAUUAAAUAAACAGUGUGUAAACUUAGUUUGGGGUACAACCAGGGAAGUAACAAAAAGAGAAAUCAUGUAUAAAAGUAAAGAAUAUGGGGGGUUAGGGGCAGUAGAUAUGAGUUUAAAAUUAUAUAUAGCUUUUGUUAAAAACGUGUCAGCAGCAAUCUCGAGGAAUGCUCUCUGGGUCGGUGAGCGCUCCAAGUGGAGAAAAUGGAGAGGGAGAGCCAGACAAGGUCCAGAAUACAACCUGAUUUAUGGUGAUUUUAUUUAUGAAUAUGAAAAUCUUAAAAUUGACUGGAAUGGCCUCCCGAGUAAAAUGAUUUUAAAAAAAAUUAAUGGUUAUAAAUAUGGUGGGUAUAUAAAUUAUAAAUAUUUAACGCACAACGAAGGAACUCAGUUCCUGAAAUUUUUAAAAAAUAAGAACCUCUCUGAGAGCAUUCGAGACAUGAGAUGGCAGAUGUCUGUAAAUAGACUCGCUGUUAGAGCUGUUGUUUCUUGGAGUUGUUAUGUAAAAACAAAAACAUGUCCCAUGAUUAAUUGCCAAGAAGAUGAGACACAGCAGCAUCUAUUGAUGGACUGCUAUAGAGCUAAAGAGGUCUGGGAUAAAUUAGGAGUGUAUGGUGUAAAUAUUCAUCUUUCAUAUAAGUCUGUGAUGUACUGUUUUGUUGACGAACCUCUACCAGAGAAACACAAGGAACUGUUAAAAAUAAUCAUAUGUAUUGUAUGCAUGAAGUUGUGGAAAACAAGAUGCUGUAUGAUUAUACAACAGACUGUCAUAAACAGUGAAGAUGUGUGUAAACAAGUGCUCGCUGAGAUCAGGCGAAGAAAAACUAUGGAUAGAAAACGGCUCCUUCCUUGGGACAUUUUGAACCUGUGAACAGCACUUUAUAAAAAGACUAUAUGCACUUUAUAAAAAAAAAGGACUCCAUGCACUUUAUAAAUAUCUCUAUGCACUUUACACUUAAGCUUGGUUUGCACAUUUUGUUUUAUUAGUUAUAUUUUUGUAAUUCUUGUAUGGUUUAUAUUUGUCAUGUAGUCUACUGUAUGUUUAAAUGUAUAAAUUGUAAUUUGUAAAAACUUAAUAAAGCUCUUUAAAA